GGUAUCUUGGCCGAGCGGUCGAAGGCGAUCGACUCAAGAUCGAUUCUACGAAAGUGGGCGAGGGUUCGAAUCCCUCAGAUACCA
This 84-nucleotide transfer RNA is filed under the name Spraguea lophii 42_110. It matches the Rfam family "tRNA". Rfam says of the family: Transfer RNA (tRNA) molecules are approximately 80 nucleotides in length. Their secondary structure includes four short double-helical elements and three loops (D, anti-codon, and T loops). Further hydrogen bonds mediate the characteristic L-shaped molecular structure. tRNAs have two regions of fundamental functional importance: the anti-codon, which is responsible for specific mRNA codon recognition, and the 3' end, to which the tRNAs corresponding amino acid is attached (by aminoacyl-tRNA synthetases). tRNAs cope with the degeneracy of the genetic code in two manners: having more than one tRNA (with a specific anti-codon) for a particular amino acid; and 'wobble' base-pairing, i.e. permitting non-standard base-pairing at the 3rd anti-codon position. Lineage: Eukaryota; Fungi; Microsporidia; Spragueidae. The record is from Rfam by way of RNAcentral.